GCUCCAGGACGCCAGCUCUUUUAUAGCCGCCUUGGCCGGGUCCAGCCCCUUGGCAGUGGGGGGCUGGGGAGUCGGGCCCCGCCCUCUCCACCUCCUCCCCCGCGGCCCGGGGCCGACCGGCUUAGCCGCAGUGAGAGGGGCGGGGCAGGGGGAGCAAGGAGUGAAGGGGAAUCGUCGCAGCGACUGAGGAGUCUCCCGAGGUCAGGGCAAGAGUUCUAGCUUUUCCCUUCGUGAGGGGUUCUUGCCCUAGGGACCAGCUGCAACUCCAGAACCCAGGACCAUUGUGGAGGAAGGUCUCCAGCUCAAUUAGAGGGGAGCCCACAUAUUGCCUAUGGGUAUGACAACCAUUUUCCCACAACUAGAAUAUCCAUCUUUCUUCUUCUCUUUUUCAUCUCCUCAGUCUCAACUUUUCACAGCCCAACCCCCACAACAGACAAACUGACACCUCCACAGGCAUCCCUUCUCACUCCCAAGGAAGUGGUGGGAUGCUUUCUUACUAUCAAGUCCCUCAUCCCUGUGAGCCCUAGUGGGGAAUCAGGCAGAAAAAGGGGUUCCUUGGGUUUGGGGACUCUGCAGCUGCUUUGUUAUGGGGCUCUUUCUUGGCUUUGCUUCAUGUCAGAUGCAUUGGGAGUGGGGGUGGCACUGCGGCUGGCAUUUCAUCAGUGACAGAGCCUGCUUCUUGUUGGGGACAUAGGGGUUAAUCUCUGCCUUUGCCUUUACCUUGGAGAGGGGAGGGGUGCAAGCUGUCUCUUGCCCUGUGCUAUUUGGAUAAGAACCGAUGACGGGGGUGGGUGAGUGGUCUAGAAAGUCACAGUGAGCCAGAGACCCACUCCUGGAUGUUUCACUAGGGAUCUAUUUUCUGGGAAGUUCUCCAUGCAAACCUGGCCUGUACUCCUUUUCCAUUGGGCGCUGAAAAGACCCCCAGGGAUACCCUGACAUCCUCUGGAAAUCAGAAUAGACUCCCCUCCCAGAUCUGAAUCUCCCCAAGGCAGUUAUUUCAACCCCCACUGCACCCCUAGCUUAUCCUCUUUUUCCUUCUCUUAGGAUCCCCAGGACAGAGACCGACAGACCCUCCAGAAAAAGAUCCCUGCCAAUCCCUUUCUCUUUGCCCUCUCUCAUGCCCAGACAACUGGUGUUAGGCAGACCCUCAGAGCUGGGGAAGUGAUGGUGCUGUUCCUUUAACCAUGUUUUACUGGAAGGAGAGUGCGCUGGGGAGCAGGGAAGAGGGGGAAGGGAGUUUCUGGCUUUGCAUGGAGAAGCAGAACAUGAUGAAGCAUUUUUCCCCCACUUAAAGGUCCAGUCAUGCUUUGGUUUGCAGGGGGCAGAGGGGCUGGUUUUGCAGGUGAUGCUGGGAGAAUGAGGACUUGACUUUAUUUUCCCUCUUUGACUCCUCCCAUUACAAGAUAUGACUACUAGUACCGCUUCCUGGAUUGGGAAAUGAAGACUGAGAGAUUGAGUAACUUGUCCCAGGUCACACAGCUAGCAAACAAAGCAGCUGGGAUUUGAACCUAGUUCUGAUGGGCUCCACAGCAGCUGGAGCUCCAAGAGGCAGGAGACAAGACCUGGAUAUGAUGUUCUGAAUCGGCAGGGCACUUUGUCUCUUAUCACCACCUGCUGGUGCUUCCAAGAAUUGCCAUGUCAACAGCGCCCCCUGCAGGCAAUGGCGGGGAAGCUCCUCAUGCCUAAAAGGACCUACCACUCCAUCCUCCCACCUGAACCAGGCCAUCCUGCUUCCUUAGGCACAGGUUGCUGAAGAAGAAGAACUCUUCUCACAGUGCUUUGCUUCUCUGCAAUAAUUCUUCUGUCUGAAGCAAUAGGAUGCUGGGAGUGAGGGGACCUGAUGCACAGGCCGUGAAGAAUCUCUCCAGAGGUCUGAUCUUCUCAACCUGAGCACCGUGUUCUUGGGUAGUUUUGAGUUAUGAGUCGAUUGUGUCUGUCAUUUGUUAUAUGAACAGAAAGCUCAGUAGCACAUCACCCAACAGAAGUGGUCCAGUGGGUGUUCCCACGCUGGCCCAAGCUUGGCUCACUCUGUCACCCUGAUGAAGCCUGGGAGGUGGGCCCCGCUCUGCUGUCGGGGUCUCUGGAGCAUUUACCGGGGUUCCUCUGUGCUCCAGCCCAACAUGCAAGUCCCCCAGUUGGCCCCUAUGACACCCUGGGUCCCAGCUUUACCUGUGGUGGGGAAGAGGGAGACUGAUGGAGCAGGGGAGCGGGCUGGGGGCGCUGGACAAGCCCAGCUAGCCAGUGUGGCCGGUCGUUUUCCUCUUCAAAAAGAGGCUCAGGGAAGGUAAGUGACUUGGCCCACAUCACCUAGGCAGACCAGAUUCGAUUUCUGAUAUCCUGUUACAUAGUGGGAGGGGUCUUCCUUUGGUCCCCACUCCCAGCCAGGGAUUGGCUGAAACCAAGGUGGACAUCAUCCCAGUGCUUCACCAGUACCAUAACAGCUAGGCACAGUGCCGUGGGCACCACAUAUUAAAUCCUCCCAGCAACUAUUUUUUUUUUUUUGGUGGGGGGGAUUGAACUCAGGAGCACUCAACCACUGAGCCACAUCCCCAUCCAUAUUUUGUAUUUUAUUUAGAAAGAGGGUCUCACUGAGUUGCUUAAUGCCAUUGCUGAAACUGGCUUUGAACUCGCAAUCCUCCUGCUUAGCUUCCAGAGCUGCUUGGAUUACAGGCAUGCACCACCAUGCCUGGCUCCCCCUAGCAACUUCUAAAGGGAGAGAUUAUUAUCUUCAUUUUGUAGAGGAGGGAAGGAAGGCAAGUUAGGAAAUUUGCCUGACCACUGGAUAUGGUGGUGUAUCCCUCUAACCUCAGCUACAUAGGAGGCUGAGGCAGGAAUAUCUCUUGAGUCUAGGAGUUCAAGGCCAGCCUGGGCAACAUUGACCUUGUCUCAAAAAGAGAAAAAAGGAGGGACUGGGGUUGUGGCUCAAUGGUAAA
Non-coding RNA from Ictidomys tridecemlineatus (thirteen-lined ground squirrel), 2933 nucleotides. The record is from RefSeq and is a predicted model, not a curated record. NCBI's taxonomy places the organism in Eukaryota, Metazoa, Chordata, Mammalia, Rodentia, Sciuridae.